CGUGUAGGCGGUUAGGCAAGUCAGGUGUGAAAUCCCUUGGCUCAACCAAGGAAGUGCGCUUGAAACUGCUUAACUAGAGUACAGGAGGGGAAAGUGGAAUUCCCAGUGUAGAGGUGAAAUUCAUAGAUAUUGGGAGAACACCGGUAGCGAAGGCGGCUUUCUGGCCUGAUACUGACGCUGAGACGCGAAAGCGUGGGGAGCAAACA
Molecule: ribosomal RNA, 206 nt
Filed under: uncultured bacterium
Lineage: Bacteria
Description: partial 16S ribosomal RNA
Rfam family: Bacterial small subunit ribosomal RNA
Source: RNAcentral